RNAcentral lists this long non-coding RNA (2679 nucleotides) under Homo sapiens (human). RNAcentral's name for it is "HSALNT0364732". Lineage: Eukaryota; Metazoa; Chordata; Mammalia; Primates; Hominidae. The record is from RNAcentral.
ACCUGAGAGCACAGGGGGAGGGACAAUGAUCACGAUAUAAACCCAGGCAUCCGAGCCAGCAAUGGCUACCCUCUUUGGGUCCCCUCCCUUUGUAGGGGAGCUCUGUUUUCACUCUAUUAAAUCUUGCAACUGCAUUCUCUUCUGGUCCGUGUUUGUUAUGGCUCGAACAGAGCUUUUGCUCGCUGCCCACCACUGCUGUUUGCUACUGUCGCAGACCCACCACUGACGUCUAUCCCUCUGGAUCUGGCAGGGUAUCCACUGUCCUAAUCCAGUGAGGGGCCCAUUGCUGCUCCCGAUCAGGCUAAAGGCUUGCCAUUGUUCCUGCACGGCUAAGUGCCUGGGUUCGUCCUAAUGGAACUGAACACUAGUCACCAGGUUCCAUGGUUCUCUUCUGUGACCCAUGGCUUCUAAUAGAACUAUAACACUCACUGCAUGGCCCAAGAUUCCAUUCCUUGGAAUCUGUGAGGCCAAGAACCCCAGGUCAGAGAACAUGAGACUUGCCACCAUCUUGGAAGCAGCCCACCACCAUCUUGGGAGCUCUGGGAGCAAGGACCCCCCGGAUACUAUAAGAAGAUUGGGAUAGAUACUGAGUGAGCCUCAGAAAAUCAGCUGGAUACACCCCAGCUCCCUCCCACCACAUGAACUAAAGAUCUGCAAGCUGUAACCUUUUCCGAAGGGCUACCUGGGCCUCUGUGUCCAUCAGAGCUGAUGAGCUGAUCUUCAUUCACCAUAAGUGCAACUAUCAUGGCUCAUGGAGCCCUGGAGAGAGUAGCACAUAUAUUGAACUUCAGUUUUAAAAAGUCUAAUACUUUUCUAAAAUGACUUGCUAUCUAUUUCAUCCAGAGAAGAUUUAUUACGUAGCCUUUCUAGCAUAAAAUAUCAUUACUUUUAAAGAAAAAUCCAAUCUAAAUUCCUCUAACUACAAUGGAAGUCCCCUUUUCUUAUUCAUUUCUCACUCAAAUAUGGAACAACCAGUCACUUCCAUUAAAUCUAAUCUUCCUGUAUGCUCUUGAAGAUAACUACCAGUUAAACAGAGCUAUCUAUGGGAAUGGUUUUUGAAAAAAAAUUGCGUUGUUUCAGUACUUUGGAGGAUGGCUGAUGUUUGCCUUUUCAAGAGAUGUAUCAUGGACUGUUUUUGUUAAACUAACUUGGCUUCAAGAAUUUGAGACUAACUCAGAUUUUCUCAAACAGUGGGGGAUUUGAUGCAGCAAUAUGCAGGCAUGGGAUAUCAGAAAGAGCCAGAUAACCAAAGGAAGAGUAGUAGCUGAAGCAGGAUUCUAAGACCAAGCUGCAGCAGAGCCAUCAGAAAACAACUCCUGAUUUUAGUUGAUCAGAUUCAAGUCAAUGAAAAAAUGACGUUUCUGUGUGUCUACUUCGGGCUAAGCACCAGGGUAGGCACAAGAGAGAUCACAGGGAUGAAUUAGUCCUAGCCCCUUGGAGAUUAUCCUCUCACCCUCUCCCCGCCAUAGUUAUCUUGGUCCUUUUCACAUAUAUCUUAGCAGGUUCUGUUUCAGGCAAAGUUUCACUUCUGUAUAUGUUUGUUACUACUGUUCAUUUGAGAUCUGCCACUAACCCUCAUUAUGACCUGGGACAUGUCUGUGGCCCCUCCACAUGCUGGCAGGAUAAAAAUUGACCAAAUAUAUGAUGCUGUCACAUAGAUGGAUCCUAUUAUUUGGUGAUUACAUUGAAAUCUUUACUGUAAAAAUUGUGUUGUCAAAAAUGAAAACAGAUGAUACUGAGUAACUCACUAGUGCCCUAAAGUACUCUACAGCUUUUCAAACAAAAUUGAAUAUUCUUUUCAACAUUCUCUCUGUAAAAAAAAAAAACAAUUCUAUAUUAGUGACCCUAUAUCCAAUAGCCAGUUCAAAUUUUGUUUUUCUCAUGUCAUACAUCUCUCUUUUGACUUCUCUGAAGUCAUCAAUCUACUGGCCACUUACCUUGUGACACAGUGGCAGAAGAUGUAGGAAAAUCUGUGCUACCCAUCAUUGACUAGCCACUUUACUAUCUGAGGUUUGUUAGUCUCAACUGUAAAAAAAGGAUCAAAUGAUCUGGUGUCCUUUUCCAUUCAAAGACUCUUGAGGUCAAAAGAAUUGAAUAGAAUCACAUUGGAGAAAAACCCUAUGAAUGUAAGAAAUGUGGUUUGGCCUUCAGUUUUCCCAGUUCUUUUUGAAAACAUGGAAGAGCUCAUGUGGAAGAAAAGCCUUAUGAAUGUAAGAAGCAUGAUGAGGCCUUUAGUUGUUCCAUUUUCACUUCAUGGCAUAACUUAUUCUGGAGAAAAACUAUGAAUGUAUGGAAUGUGGGAAUGUUUUCAUUUCUCAUAUGUAUGCAAAGAAACAUGGUAAUAGACACUGAAGAAAAUUUUAUAAAUAUAAGAAUGCAUACUGGAUUAAAGUACUAGUAGUAUAAAAAAUACAGAAAAAUGGCGUGAACCCGGGAGGUGGAGCUUGCAGUGAGCCAAGAUUGCAUAACCGCACUCCAGCCUGGGCGACAGAGUGAGACUCCAUCUCAAAAAAAAAAAAAAAAAAAAAGUACAGAAAAGUUAUCACUUUUAACAAUUACUUUAAAAGUCACGUGAAACUUCUACUGGAAAGAAAUCCUACACGUAAUAUGGAAAGCCUGGUGCAAAAUAAUUAUUGUAUAAUGCUUGUGAAAAUUCACAACAUGAAUAAAAUAUUACAU